This 497-nucleotide ribosomal RNA is filed under the name uncultured bacterium. RNAcentral's name for it is "partial 16S ribosomal RNA". It matches the Rfam family "Bacterial small subunit ribosomal RNA", at positions 28 to 507 of the family's 1533-position model. The record is from RNAcentral.
GAUGAACGCUGGCGGCGUGCUUAAUACAUGCAAGUCGAGCGAACAGACGAGGAGCUUGCUCCUCUGACGUUAGCGGCGGACGGGUGAGUAACACGUGGAUAACCUACCUAUAAGACUGGGACAACUUCGGGAAACCGGAGCUAAUACCGGAUAAUAUAUUGAACCGCAGGGUUCAAUAGUGAAAGACGGUUUUGUUGUUACUUAUAGAUGGAUCCGCGCCGCAUUAGCUGAUUGGUAAGGUAACGGCUUACCAAGGCGACGAUGCGUAGCCGACCUGAGAGGUGGGUCGGCCACGCUGGAACUGAGACACGGUCCAGACUCCUACGGGAGGCAGCAGUAGGGAAUCUUCCGCGAUGGGCGAAAGCCAGACGGAGCAACGGCGCGGGAGUGAUGAAAGUCUUCGGAUCGUAAAACUGUGUUAUUAGGGAAGGACAAAUGUGUAAGUAGCUGUGCACGUCUUGACGGUACCUGAUCAGAAAGCCACGGCUAACUACGUG